GAUCCUGGCUCAGAUUGAACGCUGGCGGCAUGCCUUACACAUGCAAGUCGAACGGUAACAGGUCUUUCGGGAUGCUGACGAGUGGCGAACGGGUGAGUAAUACAUCGGAACGUGCCUAGUAGUGGGGGAUAACUACUCGAAAGAGUGGCUAAUACCGCAUGAGAUCUAUGGAUGAAAGCAGGGGACCUUCGGGCCUUGUGCUACUAGAGCGGCCGAUGGCAGAUUAGGUAGUUGGUGGGAUAAAAGCUUACCAAGCCUACGAUCUGUAGCUGGUCUGAGAGGACGAUCAGCCACACUGGGACUGAGACACGGCCCAGACUCCUACGGGAGGCAGCAGUGGGGAAUUUUGGACAAUGGGGGAAACCCUGAUCCAGCAAUGCCGCGUGCAGGAUGAAGGCCUUCGGGUUGUAAACUGCUUUUGUACGGAACG
Molecule: ribosomal RNA, 430 nt
Filed under: Comamonas sp. R-24447
Lineage: Bacteria; Pseudomonadati; Pseudomonadota; Betaproteobacteria; Burkholderiales; Comamonadaceae
Description: bacterial SSU rRNA
Rfam family: Bacterial small subunit ribosomal RNA
Source: RNAcentral